This 492-nucleotide ribosomal RNA is filed under the name uncultured bacterium. Its description in RNAcentral is "partial 16S ribosomal RNA". It matches the Rfam family "Bacterial small subunit ribosomal RNA", at positions 29 to 507 of the family's 1533-position model. The record is from RNAcentral.
AGUGAACGCUGGCGGUAGGCCUAACACAUGCAAGUCGAACGGCAGCACAGUAAGAGCUCGCUCUUACGGGUGGCGAGUGGCGGACGGGUGAGGAAUACAUCGGAAUCUACUUUUUCGUGGGGGACAACGUAGGGAAACUUAUGCUAAUACCGCAUACGAUCUACGGGUGAAAGCAGUGGAUCUUCGGACCUUGCGUGAUUGAAUGAGCCGAUGUCGGAUUAGCUAGUUGGCGGGGUAAAGGCCCACCAAGGCGACGAUCCGUAGCUGGUCUGAGAGGAUGAUCAGCCACACUGGAACUGAGACACGGUCCAGACUCCUACGGGAGGCAGCAGUAGGGAAUAUUGGACAAUGGGCGCAAGCCUGAUCCAGCCAUACCGCGUGAGUGAAGAAGGCCUUCGGGUUGUAAAGCCCUUUUGUUGGGAAAGAAAAACAGCAUAUUAAUACCCCGCUGUUCUGACGGUACCCAAAGAGUAAGCACCGGCUAACUUCGUG